CCUUCAAACGGAUCAGCUCUCUCAGAUGAAUCGACUCCUCCAGUUCACUGAAAAGAAUCGAUUCAAAAGAACGAUUCGUUCAUGAACUGGACAUCUCUAUUUUUUUAUCUCUUC
Nanorana parkeri is the source of this 114-nucleotide long non-coding RNA. RefSeq lists it as uncharacterized. NCBI's taxonomy places the organism in Eukaryota, Metazoa, Chordata, Amphibia, Anura, Dicroglossidae. The transcript is spliced from 3 exons. The record is from RefSeq and is a predicted model, not a curated record.